CUAGUGGAAGAGGCAGGAGCUGUCCGUUUCUAAAAUUCGCGUCGUGGUGUGUUUAAAAAGCUAGGUAGAAUCCCAUUCAGUGGUAUUCAGUGUAGGCAGUGUCGUGUGCGUAUUUGUGAGACUAAAGAUUCGUAACGGUCAAACGCCCAACACACCACACCAUACCGCUAGCGACAGCUUCUGACCCCAUCGUCAGCGCUCAGAGUUUCCCGGCG
Topomyia yanbarensis is the source of this 215-nucleotide long non-coding RNA. RefSeq lists it as uncharacterized. The record is from RefSeq and is a predicted model, not a curated record. The transcript is spliced from 3 exons. NCBI's taxonomy places the organism in Eukaryota, Metazoa, Arthropoda, Insecta, Diptera, Culicidae.